CUGGACCAGCGGGAAGGCUGCAGGAAAGAUCUUCCCAGAUAGAGGGAACUGCACGUGCAAAGGCAGGGAGAGUGCACGGGAGUUUUGCGCCUGAGCCCGGCAGGGGAGCAGGCACCCACUCAAAGCCCUUGCAGGGAUGUGGGCAAGACCAAAUAGGUGCCAGCCCCACCUCCAGUUAGACUUCAGGAAGAACUUCCAGGGAAAACAGAAAGGAUGACAGUUGGAUGGACUGGGGGAAGAUCAUUUGUAAACAGGGCAGCUUUGUCCCAGGCCUUCCAAAGUCCAGUCUGUAAGCUGAAUCUUCCAGAAGGCCCACCCUGUGGCCUUGAGGACUUUGGCUGCAGGGAUCUCUUUGCUGACCAGGUGACCUCUCCCCAUGGCUUUGUGGCUUGCAGGGUGAUAUGGGGGCUUCCUGGGUCCCCUCCUAUCUUGAAACUAACCAAGGUGGGAGGGAAGUGGGAGGCCACCCGGAUGGCCCUGCCUGCUGCCUGACCUUGGCAAGCCCUUGGCCCCUCAGUUUCCUCAUCUGCUGUUGGAUGUGAUCUCAGCACCGUAGGCCUGGAGGACAUUUGUGAAGGGGGGAGGUGCACAGGGUGGGAGCUCAUGACUGCUGGGCCUGGGCUGUGUGCCUGGCCUCCCUUUCCCCCAACCCCAUCAGGCCUGGGCUGGCCGCCCACUUCUAUUCACCAUGGAGCUGGGUUUCCCUGGGGACAAGUAGCCUGGCCCAGCCCACCCCCACCCCACCCCCUGACGCACGCCCCCAGUCUCUCCUGGCCUAACUCACACUAGGAGGAGGAGUAGAGGCUGGGCAGCCUCUUGGACCCCUGCCCCACCCCACGCCCUGCCUUCCAGGGCUGGUCCACCUCUGGGCUGGGCCUGGAAGAAGAAGCUGUGGCUGUCCCUGGAGGAGGUCCUGGAGGCAGCUCCUGCUGGGAUGGCAGCUCCAGCAUCUUUAAGGGCCACGGGGGGUCCAGCCCCACCGGGGGCACCCUAGGACUCCCACAGCCAUCUGUGCACCUGCCCCCCACUCAUCUGUGGGCCACUCACCAUGGGUGGGUGCUUCUCCAAGCCCAAGCCAGUGGAGCUCAAGAUCGAGGUGGUGCUGCCUGAGAAGGAGCGGGGCAAGGAGGAGCUGUCAGCCAGCGGGAAGGGCAGCCCUCGGGCCUACCAGGGCAAUGGCACAGCCCGCCACUUCCACACAGAGGAACGCCUGCCUGCCCCUCACCCGUACCCUGGUGCUCAGGACUGUGUGGAGGCCGCCAUCUGCCAUGUCAAGGACCUUGAGAAUGGCCAGAUGCGGGAAGUAGAGCUGGGCUGGGGGAAAGUGUUGCUGGUGAAGGACAACGGGGAGUUCCACGCUCUGGGCCACAAGUGUCCACACUAUGGUGCACCCCUGGUGAAAGGUGUGCUGUCCCGUGGCCGGGUGCGCUGCCCCUGGCAUGGUGCCUGCUUCAACAUCGGCACCGGUGACCUAGAGGAUUUCCCUGGCCUGGACAGUCUGCACAAAUUCCAGGUGAAGAUUGAGAAGGAGAAGGUGUACGUCCGAGCCAGUAAGCAGGCCUUGCAGCUACAGCGAAGAACCAAAGUGAUGGCCAAGUGUAUCUCUCCAAGUGCUGGCCACAGCAGCAGCACCAACGUGCUGAUUGUAGGCGCAGGUGCAGCUGGCUUGGUAUGUGCAGAGACACUGCGGCAGGAGGGGUUCUCAGACAGGAUCGUCUUGUGCACACUGGACCGGCACCUCCCCUAUGACCGGCCUAAGCUCAGCAAGUCCCUGGAUGCACAGCCUGAGCAGCUGGCCCUGAGGCCCAAGGAGUUCUUUCGAGCCUAUGGCAUCGAGGUGCUCACCGAGGCCCAGGUGGUUACGGUGGAUGUGAGAAACAAGAAGGUUGUGUUCAAGGAUGGCUUCAAGCUGGAGUACAGCAAGCUGCUUCUCGCACCAGGGAGCAGCCCUAAGAUGCUGAGCUGCAAAGGCAAAGAGGUGGAGAACGUGUUCACCAUCCGGACACCUGAAGAUGCCAAUCGUGUGGUGAGGCUAGCCCGGGGCCGCAACGCAGUGGUCGUGGGAGCUGGCUUCCUGGGGAUGGAGGUGGCUGCUUAUCUGACUGAAAAGGCCCACUCAGUGUCCGUGGUGGAGCUGGAGGAGACGCCCUUCAGGAGAUUUUUGGGGGAACGUGUCGGUCGUGCCCUCAUGAAAAUGUUUGAGAACAACCGGGUCAAGUUCUACAUGCAGACAGAGGUCUCUGAGCUGCGGGCCCAGGAGGGAAAGCUGAAGGAAGUCGUGCUGAAGAGCAGCAAGGUUGUGCGGGCUGACGUCUGUGUUGUGGGCAUUGGUGCGGUGCCUGCCACGGGCUUCCUGAGGCAGAGCAGCAUCAAUCUGGAUUCCCGAGGCUUCAUCCCUGUCAACAAGAUGAUGCAGACCAACGUUCCGGGCGUGUUUGCAGCUGGCGAUGCUGUCACUUUCCCCCUCGCCUGGAGAAACAAUCGGAAAGUGAACAUCCCACAUUGGCAGAUGGCUCAUGCCCAGGGGCGCGUGGCGGCCCAGAAUAUGCUGGCGCAGGAGGCGGAGAUCAGCACCGUGCCCUACCUGUGGACAGCCAUGUUUGGCAAGAGCCUGCGCUACGCUGGGUACGGAGAAGGCUUCGACGACGUCAUCAUCCAGGGGGAUCUGGAAGAGCUCAAGUUCGUGGCUUUUUACACCAAGUGAGAGCAACUGGGUGGAACGUGGCAGCCGCCGAAGCAGCGGGAGCUCGGUCGGGAAGGGGAGCUUCCAGAGGGGAAGGAGCUCUGCUCCAGAGGAGGGGACUUACCUGAAAGAUGGACCAAGUGGCCAAGGGAGGCAGCUAGGCAGGAGACCCACCAAGGGAAUGUGAGGAGGUGGGGCAGUAAUAACUCCAGCAGCCACGCACUGAGACAGGACAUUUUAUCUUCAGGACAGCAAUUUGAGGACCGGCGACAUGUCCUGGCUCACAGGGAAAGGAUCCUGAGCUCGCAUGCAGCAGACUUGGGCAGGCACGCUGGGGCACCAGGGACAGAGGCCAAG
This is an RNA transcript of Herpailurus yagouaroundi (jaguarundi), 3040 nucleotides long. It is a transcript of the gene named AIF family member 3, with no coding region annotated. The record is from RefSeq and is a predicted model, not a curated record. Lineage: Eukaryota; Metazoa; Chordata; Mammalia; Carnivora; Felidae. The transcript is spliced from 20 exons.